Molecule: ribosomal RNA, 874 nt
Filed under: uncultured bacterium
Lineage: Bacteria
Description: bacterial SSU rRNA
Rfam family: Bacterial small subunit ribosomal RNA
Source: RNAcentral
AGAGUUUGAUCCUGGCUCAGAAUCAACGUUGGCGGCGCGCUUAACACAUGCAAGUCGAACGAGAAAGUGGAGCAAUCCAUGAGUAAAGUGGCGUACGGGUGAGUAACACGUGGGUAUCCAUUCUUUGGUGGGGAAUAACUUUGGGAAACCGAAGCUAAUACCGCAUAAGUCCGAGAGGAGAAAGGUGAAAAUCGCCGAAGAGGGAGCCCGCGGCUGAUUAGCUAGUUGGUGAGGUAACGGCCCACCAAGGCGAAGAUCGGUAGCCGGCCUGAGAGGGCACACGGCCACACUGGCACUGAGACACGGGCCAGACUCCUACGGGAGGCAGCAGUGGGGAAUCUUGCACAAUGGGGGAAACCCUGAUGCAGCGACGCCGCGUGAACGAUGAAGCCCUUCGGGGUGUAAAGUUCUUUCGGCAGGAACGAUAAUGACGGUACCUGAAGAAGAAGCUGCGGCUAACUACGUGCCAGCAGCCGCGGUAAUACGUAGGCAGCAAACGUUGUUCGGAGUUACUGGGCGUAAAGAGUACGUAGGCGGUUUGCCAAGUUUGGUGUGAAAUCUCCUGGCUUAACUGGGAGGGUGCGCCGAAUACUGGCGGGCUUGAGUAUUGGAGAGGAAAGCGGAAUUCCUGGUGUAGCGGUGAAAUGCGUAGAUAUCAGGAGGAACACCGGUGGUGUAGACGGCUUUCUGGACAAUCACUGACGCUGAGGUACGAAAGCGUGGGUAGCAAACAGGAUUAGAUACCCUGGUAGUCCACGCCCUAAACGAUGCAAACUUGGUGUAGGCAGUUCAGUCUGUCUGUGCCGGAGCUAACGCGUUAAGUUUGCCGCCUGGGGAGUACGGUCGCAAGGCUGAAACUCAAAUGAAUUGACGG